This 123-nucleotide small nucleolar RNA is filed under the name Echinops telfairi (small Madagascar hedgehog). RNAcentral describes it as "Small nucleolar RNA SNORA61 (ENSETEG00000025239.1)". The record is from RNAcentral. Lineage: Eukaryota; Metazoa; Chordata; Mammalia; Afrosoricida; Tenrecidae.
GCCCUUAUGAAUUCCCUCCCUCUCAGACCUAAAUAAUGGUCUGAGUGGCUAAAAAGAAGGAAAAGUAAAGUGAACUUGUGGAUGUGGAGUCUUCCAUGACCUACAAAUUCAUUGCAAACAAGU